UUUGUUAAAGGUUCAAAUGAUCUUUAAUUUAAAAUGUGCAUCACCUGUGAUCACCCUUCUUCCUCACCUGUGAACACCUGGUUUGGUCACUUCAGAGCUGCCGUCCGUCCAGGUGAUAAGGCUGAAAACUAUUCUCAGGUGUGUGUUCAUCAUUCUGUUUUUGGCCCUCAUCGCUUCCUGUAACUUCAUCAUGACGGAGAGAGUCCGGGUGGGUGGCGCUCUGGUCCGGUCCAGCAGAACUGGCUGGGUGAGCUGGAGUCUGAGAGCAGAGCUGCUGAACACGUUAACACACAGGUGACCCGUGUUCACACGUGUGUCCAUGUCACGCGUCUGUACGCUAGACGUCUUCAUCGUUACCGUGGCGUCUGUUCUGAUGAUGUAAGCCAUUAAUGAGCGAGUCACUUCCUCCUCGUCUCUGCUCAUGUGCAGGACUCAUCGGACAGGAAAUACACCAUGCCUCAUUUUCCCAGAAUUCCCUGGGCUCACCGAAGGAAAACAGAAAAAAAAAGUUUUGUUUGUUUGUCGUAUUUAAUUAUUUUUAAUGUUUCAGAUGAUGUCAGCUUUCAUUUAAACCAGAGAGAGUGAGACUGAGUGCAGUUUGUUAACCUGUCUGUCUGUCUGUCUCUCACAGAGCGUCUGUACUUCGCCACCUUACGCAGUAAACCUAAAAGUACGGCUAACACACACUAUUUCUGCACAGACGAUGAGUUCCUGUACGAGAAUUUCUAUGCAGACUUUGGUCCUCUGAAUCUGGCCAUGUUGUACCGAUACUGCUGCAAACUCAACAAGAAGCUGAAGCCGACCGGACAAUCUGGAUUCACACCCAUCAUUAGUUUACUGCAGAGUACCUGUCCACACCUGAGACACAAAGCAUCAUGGGACACCUCACAAACUAUGCAGCUCACAAAGGAGUGUUCAUAAGACUGUUAAGACUGAAGGAAGACAAGAUCACAACAGUCUUAUAAGAUUAUAAUAAAACUUAAAUAAAACUAAAGACUGUAGAGUGGUUAGUCUGAGUCUUUACCA
Molecule: long non-coding RNA, 1026 nt
Organism: Larimichthys crocea (large yellow croaker)
Lineage: Eukaryota; Metazoa; Chordata; Actinopteri; Sciaenidae
Exons: 3
Source: RefSeq, a predicted model, not a curated record